This 495-nucleotide ribosomal RNA is filed under the name Dialister invisus. RNAcentral's name for it is "bacterial SSU rRNA". It matches the Rfam family "Bacterial small subunit ribosomal RNA", at positions 28 to 516 of the family's 1533-position model. Lineage: Bacteria; Bacillati; Bacillota; Negativicutes; Veillonellales; Veillonellaceae. The record is from RNAcentral.
GACGAACGCUGGCGGCGUGCUUAACACAUGCAAGUCGAACGAAAAGACGGAAAGAGCUUGCUCUUUUCAGAAUUGAGUGGCAAACGGGUGAGUAACACGUAAACAACCUGCCUUCAGGAUGGGGACAACAGACGGAAACGACUGCUAAUACCGAAUAAGUUCCAAGGGCCGCAUGGCCCAUGGAAGAAAAGGUGGCCUCUACCUGUAAGCUAUCGCCUGAAGAGGGGUUUGCGUCUGAUUAGCUGGUUGGAGGGGUAACGGCCCACCAAGGCGACGAUCAGUAGCCGGUCUGAGAGGAUGAACGGCCACACUGGAACUGAGACACGGUCCAGACUCCUACGGGAGGCAGCAGUGGGGGAUCUUCCGCAAUGGGCGAAAGCCUGACGGAGCAACGCCGCGUGAGUGAUGACGGCCUUCGGGUUGUAAAACUCUGUGAUCCCCUACGAAAAGGCAGAGUGCGAAGACUAAACUGCAGUGACGUACCGAAAAGCAGCC